GUGUGGUGCGGGUCCUACCGGCCCGAGUUCGCCAUCCAAUCCAUCAAGACAGACGUCCACAGUCCCCUGAAGUACAGGGUACUGGGGUCGCUGCAGAACCUGGCCGCCUUCGCAGACACGUUCCACUGUGCCCGGGGCACCCCCAUGCACCCCAAGGAGCGAUGCCGCGUGUGGUAGCCAAGGCCCUGCCGCGCUGUGCGGCCCACGCCCACCCGCUGCUCGGAGGCAUCUGUGCGAAGGUGCAGCUAGCGGCGACCCAGUGUACGUCCCGCCCCGGCCAACCAUGCCAAGCCUGCCUGCCAGGCCUCUGCGCCUGGCCUAGGGUGCAGCCACCUGCCUGACACCCAGGGAUGAGCAGUGUCCAGUGCAGUACCUGGACCGGAGCCCCCUCCACAGACACCCGCGGGGCUCAGUGCCCCCGUCACAGCUCUGUAGAGACAAUCAACUGUGUCCUGCCCACCCUCCAAGGUGCAUUGUCUUCCAGUAUCUACAGCUUCAGACUUGAGCUAAGUAAAUGCUUC
RNAcentral lists this long non-coding RNA (521 nucleotides) under Homo sapiens (human). RNAcentral's name for it is "HSALNT0000630". Lineage: Eukaryota; Metazoa; Chordata; Mammalia; Primates; Hominidae. The record is from RNAcentral.